This 451-nucleotide ribosomal RNA is filed under the name uncultured bacterium. Its description in RNAcentral is "bacterial SSU rRNA". It matches the Rfam family "Bacterial small subunit ribosomal RNA", at positions 354 to 796 of the family's 1533-position model. The record is from RNAcentral.
GUGGGGAAUAUUGCGCAAUGGGCGAAAGCCUGACGCAGCGACGCCGCGUGGGUGAUGAAGGCCUUCGGGUCGUAAAGCCCUGUCAGGAGGGAAGAACUCUCGCCGGUUUAAUACACCGGUGACUUGACGGUACCUCCAAAGGAAGCACCGGCUAACUCCGUGCCAGCAGCCGCGGUAAUACGGAGGGUGCGAGCGUUGUUCGGAAUCACUGGGCGUAAAGCGCGUGCAGGCGGCCUCUUAAGUCUGGUGUGAAAGCCCGGGGCUCACCCCCGGAAGGGCACUGGAUACUGGGAGGCUAGAGUACCGGAGAGGAGGGUGGAAUUCCUGGUGUAGCGGUGAAAUGCGUAGAUAUCAGGAGGAACACCGGUGGCGAAGGCGGCCCUCUGGACGGAUACUGACGCUGAGACGCGAAAGCGUGGGGAGCAAACAGGAUUAGAAACCCUAGUAGUCC